UGCGUAGGUGGUUUGGUAAGUUAUCUGUGAAAUUCCUGGGCUUAACCUGGGCAUGUCAGGUAAUACUGCUAAACUCGAGUACAGGAGAGGGUAGUGGAAUUUCCGGUGUAGCGGUGAAAUGCGUAGAGAUCGGAAGGAACACCAGUGGCGAAGGCGGCUACCUGGCCUGAUACUGACACUGAGGCACGAAAGCGUGGGGAGCAAACA
Molecule: ribosomal RNA, 207 nt
Filed under: uncultured bacterium
Lineage: Bacteria
Description: partial 16S ribosomal RNA
Rfam family: Bacterial small subunit ribosomal RNA
Source: RNAcentral